This 408-nucleotide ribosomal RNA is filed under the name uncultured bacterium. RNAcentral describes it as "partial 16S ribosomal RNA". It matches the Rfam family "Bacterial small subunit ribosomal RNA", at positions 28 to 526 of the family's 1533-position model. The record is from RNAcentral.
GACGAACGCUGGCGGCGUGCUUAACACAUGCAAGUCGAACGAAGUGGCGAACGGGUGAGUAACGCGUAAUCAACCUGCCCUUCAGAGGGGGACAACAGUUGGAAAAGACUGCUAAUACCGCAUACUGAAGGAGGGGAUUGCGUCUGAUUAGCGAGUGGGAGGGGUAACGGCCUACCAAGGCGAGGAUCAGUAGCCGGUCUGAGGGGGUGAACGGCCACAUUGGGACUGAGACACGGCCCAGAAUCCUACGGGAGGCAGCAGUGGGGAAUCUUCCGCCAUGGACGAAAGUCUUACUGAGCAACGCCGCGUGAGUGAUUACGGCCUUCGGGUUGUAAAGCUCUGUUAAUCGGGACGCGGUACCGGAAUAGAAAGCCACGGCUAACUACGUGCCAGCCGCCGCGGUAAUAC